ACAUCGAAAUGUAUUUAAGCUGACGCAUUUCAAUUAAGUCAUUGCAUUUGUAUGUGCAUGUGAGCAGAUUGUCUCAACUGCUAAUACUUCAAAGCAGAAAUCCUCUUUUAAGCAGCGAAUAUCUGCACGUUUUAAAAAAAAAAUCAUAAUGGAAGAUAUCGAUGAAGCUUUUGUUGAUACUGUGUUUGCCAGUUUACCAGUUAUUGAUGGUCAUCGUCAAACUCUCCGCAUUUCUCAAGAAGAAGAAAUUUUGCUGUCAGCAGGUCUAGUGCAAUUCCAGUUUGUAAAUACUACAGAAGGCGUUUCCAAAUUAAUCUAUCACCAUCAACCUAGGAGUAUUGAAGACAAUCAGCGCAAUUGUAACAUUAAACCAAUUUAAAUUACGAUCAUUUCAACAUGAAAAUUUAUUCGGGUACAUCCACUUACCUGAAAGUGUUUUAAAGUUUUUAAAACAAUUAUGGCAAGCAAGAACACUAAAAAUUAUCUGUGCAACCGAAAUUUAUGAAACGUUAUCUAACAAUCGUUUAGUUAAUCGAAUUGAACUGGAUAAACAAAGUCUACGUAUGUAUCCUCAACUAGAAUUGGAAAGUUUGCCGUAUCAUAGAUUUUAUAGACAUGUAAAUGUAGAUCCUACAAAAAUUGAUUUGUUACAAUACCAAACUUACCUUGAUAGCUGUAGUUAAAAUGGGUGUAAUAAAUAAUAUUCAAAGAUUAA
Photinus pyralis (common eastern firefly) is the source of this 715-nucleotide long non-coding RNA. RefSeq lists it as uncharacterized. The record is from RefSeq and is a predicted model, not a curated record. NCBI's taxonomy places the organism in Eukaryota, Metazoa, Arthropoda, Insecta, Coleoptera, Lampyridae. The transcript is spliced from 2 exons.